Suricata suricatta (meerkat) is the source of this 853-nucleotide long non-coding RNA. RefSeq lists it as uncharacterized. The record is from RefSeq and is a predicted model, not a curated record. The transcript is spliced from 7 exons. Lineage: Eukaryota; Metazoa; Chordata; Mammalia; Carnivora; Herpestidae.
GCUUCUCCAGCUAGGUGAUAUGACACCUGAGACCUGUUUGGGAUGGGACAUUCAGAAGUGGGUCCCAGAUAGAGGGAACAGGGACUCCAACCCUGCAGGCCUUGGUGUAGAUGGCCACUUGUCUCCUCUUUCCAGGCCUGUGGAGAAUGACAUCUAGGGAUCUUUGAGGUUGGAUAGGACUACAUGACCAGCUCUGGCCACAACUACAUCCCAUCUCACCCACAGUGGAGCCGUAUGUCUUGUAGAGCACAUCGACAUAGAAUGAGUGUGCCUGAAGAUUAUGUGGGCAAUUGGAGAUGAACAUCAAUUUACUCGGGCUAGAAAAUAAAAGUUUCAUGGAGAUCCUGAUGUAAAACCUAUUUCUUCUUGUGGUUCACAUCACAGAAGUCUGAGGAAAACUACACAGAACAGAGUCCAAACUCCUGUGUAAGAGAUAUUCAGAGGACUGCACUUCAGCCCCCUGGAAGCCAAGAUGGGCUCCAAACCUAAUGAACUGAUGGGGCAGGAGUUUAUUGAUAUAUUGCCUCGUUGGAUGUGCCACAGUGCUACUAAGUUACCAUGCCAAGACCUUGAUAUAUUCCAGGAGAUGAUACAGGCUCCCUGAUGCCAAAUGGCUUAGAGUCUACUGAUACAUGAAUGAGCAGUUACAAAGCAGGAUGGAGACUUGCCACGAGCCUGAGCCUGGUGACUGUUGGAGAGUGACCCUUUCCAGGUUGUCAUCGUGAAAGACUUUCAACUUCUGAAAUCAGUCCAGCAUUAGACAUGUGACAUGACAAGGGAACAUUUUCCUCAUUCAGAAGAUCGUUAAAGGAAAUGAAAGCCGGCAGAUCAUUGUUAUGCAAGAGGAAACAAC